Felis catus (domestic cat) is the source of this 1788-nucleotide long non-coding RNA. RefSeq lists it as uncharacterized. The transcript is spliced from 4 exons. The record is from RefSeq and is a predicted model, not a curated record. NCBI's taxonomy places the organism in Eukaryota, Metazoa, Chordata, Mammalia, Carnivora, Felidae.
UUAUUAUAACUAUGUCAGCACAUCCCCCUCCUCCGUUCACUAGUCACCCCCUUUGUGAGCCUCCUUUCUUAGGCUGUGUAAAUGGCCUAGGAAUGAAGGAAACUUCGUUUCUCUCUGAUGUCACACUGAGCUGGAGACAUCUGUGCUGAGGGUUAGAGACCUGCACUGAAAGGUGGUUUUGAGACAGUUAGGGACCAUGGGACCAAGCGCCAAGUGAAAAACAUUGUGCAUCUAGAGCACUUUCUGUUGGCUGUUCUUGUUAAACUGCGAGCCUUUACAGAGCAGAACCAGAGGACUCAGCUCCGAAAAGCACCAAUGAGCUGCCUGAGUUGUCUGCCAAUAUUGACCAAUAAGGACGAGACCUUCCAACCAAUCAGGAUGCGGCCCUUUGAACCAAUCAGAAUAAGGUUCCUCCAACCAAUCAGGACGAGGCUCCCCCCUUCCCUUUUCAUAUUGGACCCGAGUGAGAACCUGAGCGGGAACUUUCUGUAUGAAGAUUUAGAAAAUGAGGUUCAGAGAAUUCCAAGAUCACCUGGAGCCUAAAGGGGGAAUUUCAGAAAAUUGUACCAAAUAUGAAUCUUAAGAAAUAAACAUUUGAAUCCAGUGUGUGGUUGAAAGGAACCCUGGAGGAGAGGUGGUGGCAGCUGGAAAGAAAAGACCAUGCCUCCUGGGUCUGUAGGAAGAACGCUGCAGGGACCCCCAGAGAGAGCUAAAGCAGAAAGCAUCCUCAAGGCCCUGUCCCCUCCAGGUGUAUCCUGGGGCCUCCAGUCCGUGUCACAGCAGGUGCAGGAGCUACCAGCGUCCCUCCUCCUUCCUGGCUGAGCAGAGUCCACGGUAUCUCCAGCUCGCAGAAGACCUGUCUUUGAAAGCACCUGUGCAUUUGCUUGCCUGCUUUGGAUCACUUAAGGCAGGCUUGAGUGGCCUUUCAAUUGGUUAGUUUUGUGGCUGGUUUAUUCCUCUGGCGGGGUAAGAGGAUUUCAGUUAGCUGCGUAAAGGAAGAAAGGCAGUUCGGGGGCCAAGUGCUUGGAGCAGCAAACGUCAGGUCAGGCUGAAGGACGCUGAAGUUUCCCACCGACCUCAGAAGCCCUCUUGAGCAACUUUCUCUGCAGGUUUGGUGCCAACAUUGUUUUAUUUUGUUUUCCACUCAGCCAGAUAUUCACAAUCUGUUUCCCCCACCUGGAAAGUUGCAUAGUCUGACAGGCACAAGGGAUUUAAGAGAUUCCUAGCUGGCGCUGCUACUGUGGAUUAGCAGCUGGGCAGAAAGGACGGUUGGCCUCUUUGAUGUGCCUUUACGAGUACAUAGAAAUGCAGAACUGAGACAAUUUCCUGGAUCAUUCUAAUAAAUAUGAACUAUAGUUGCCCAAAGUAUUUUGGGUCAUAAUUUUCAGACAGAGACCAAAGUGAUGCAUGUCUUGAUUAUCUCAGUUCUUUAUGACAGGCCCGGAGAAACCUAGUCUAAGGAUUUAACUUAGCAGCCAUUUAUUGAUUUUCUGAUGCACAAGAGAAAGGGUCUGGGAAGGUCAGCACUUCUAUUACAAAGGCAAGUAAGACCUGGUCUUGAAUCUCACGUGGUUUCUGGUUUUAGUGGAGGUGGGUGGGGUGAGACGUAUACAGCCUGCUCACUUUAAGAAAAUCCUGUCUUGGGGCCCCGGGGUGGCUCAGUCGGUUAAGCUUCCGACUCCUUGUUUCAGCUCAGGUCAUGAUCUCACCGUUUGUGAGUUCAAGCCCCGUGUUGAGCUCUGUGCUGCCAGCGCAGAGCCUGCCUGGGAUUCUCUCUCUCCUUCUCUC